Long non-coding RNA from Vigna unguiculata (cowpea), 1978 nucleotides. The record is from RefSeq and is a predicted model, not a curated record. Lineage: Eukaryota; Viridiplantae; Streptophyta; Magnoliopsida; Fabales; Fabaceae.
GAGAGAAGCAAAGAAACACUUUGUUUGGAUUAGAGGAGAUAAUGGUGACGAGAAGUCCUCAACGGCAACCACCGGAAGCCACUUCCAUUGUUCCUUACGAACAUUUGUCCACACCGUUUUAUUAUAUUUUGGGAAUGAAGGUUGAGAGAAGAAGAUCAUGAAAAUGAAAUGAUUCGUAUAGCGUUGCAACUUGGUGAAGAACCACAGUCCAAAAAAUCGCAUGUCAAUGUAAACUUGGCAUCGACGAAAGAUUUGUUAAAAAAGUUGAGAAAUUAUAGAAGAGGCCUACAGAAGAUAAAGAAGCACAUGAUGGUAUUGCGUGAGGAAAUAUUGUCUCGAUGUCAUGUUGGGGAUGAAGAAGGUAGGCAAGACGUAGAGGGAGAAUGAGGUGAUGAGGUUGUGGUUGAAGUUGGUGACCAUGAGGAUGAAGUUCGUCACAAGGCUCCAAUUGUUGUUGAAAGAAUGAAUCAAGACGAUGUUGGGAAAGCUUUUGAUUUCAACUCUGAAUUUGAUGUUUCAGCGCUUUAACUCCUAGUUCCAAAACAACCAUCAAUUCAUGCAUUUGAAGUUGACUUCAUGAAGUUGUAUAAGAUUGUUACUUAUUUCGGUGUACCUUACAGGUAUUACUAAUGUUUUGUUUAUUAAUGUUAUGAAAUGAUUAAAUAAACAAAUAUAUCUGUAGCUAACAUACUUAAAAUUGUAGGGUAGUGGCCAAUAUAAAUGAGCAGAUUUUAGGUAUCUCUGAGUGUUGAGGUUUUAGUUCAGGAAAAAAAGGUUGACAAUAUGAUAAGAAAUCUUUUAAGAUGUAUUUAAUGUUUAAAGUUUUUGUUAGCAUGAUUUGUAAAUAAUUUUUUGUAGGAUGUUUUGUUUGGUGGAAGCACAAUGAUGUACUUUGAACGACGAAAAUAUGAUCAUAUGAAGAGAAUAGCUUUCAAUCUGUUAUAUACGGUAUAAAGAAUGUUUAGUUAUAAAUGAAUUAGCUUUAGCUUACUUACAAAUAACUAAUGUUCGUUAUGAAUGUAGACUUAUAUCUUGCACGACUCACGCAAGAUGAAGGUUAAGAGACGACAAUGGACAUUGAAAGAAUAUGAGCCUUAAUUUUGUUCAACACUGAUUUCGUUAGAAGAUAUUUUGGUUGCAGAUGUUGUGAGAUUCCUAUGUUAUUUAUUUAUUUUUUGUAUUGAUUAGUCACAAAGUUUAUGAUAAUAUUAAUUAUGUUAUGCAGUUGUCUGCCCCAAUGGUGCAUGAGGAUCAUUAGUAGUGCUACGUUGUUAACUAUCAACAGAAGAAGUUGUUUGUGUUGGAUUCAAUUGGGAAUUCAAACAAAAAUCGUAAAAGAAUAGACAAUGCUAUUGUUCAUAAUUUGGAAUUGCUUUUUAAGAUGUUGUUGAAAUGUAAAGAUGACGAGGGAUCAAAAUUUGAAGUCCAAUGCGACAUAACUUCGAUUCAACCUAACUUAUAUGAUUGUGGUAUUUUUGUUCUUCAAAUGAUGGAGCUGUGGGAUGGUGAAAAGAAAUUUUAUGGCAAUAGCAUGCCUAAUUACACAAAUCAGGAACAACUAUAACAGAUAAGGCAACAAUACAUUUGGGAUUGGGUACUAGAUGUUGAAAACAUUCACAAGCAAGAAGUGCUUGAAUACUACGAUUUAUUUGUUAGAAGUUAGGUGGUGGUGAAAUUUGUUGACAUUGGCAACCAUUUACCAAGCUCAUUAUGAACAUCCUGAGUGGACGGAUGAGGCUGAAUGACAGGCUUCAGUGUGGCUUGGACCAAUUCAUUUGUCGGUUCACAUAUGUUCGAUUUGAAGAUCUAUUUUUCAAUUAAAUGUAUUUCCAUAUGAAUGAACAACGUACUGAAGAAUCGUUAUGAUUUAGGUAAAAUGAUAUAAAAAUUUAGUCAAUACCUUGACAAUGUUUCGGACAAUUAUGUUGAGGUAGCAAAGUUUAUCUCUGUGAUUGAAAGUUGUAACCUGUUAUAAAGA